This is a long non-coding RNA of Equus caballus (horse), 2274 nucleotides long. Lineage: Eukaryota; Metazoa; Chordata; Mammalia; Perissodactyla; Equidae. The record is from Ensembl.
GGGCCCCACAGCAUCUUGCUUCCAGCUCUUUGGGAAGCUAAGAAACAACUCGCUCUGCACAGUGCUCUUACAGCCUACCGGGAACAUCUCUUCCAAAGGCCUGUGAAACGCAGUUUCUUUGCAGGCCUGAUGUGGCUGAAGUAGGACUUCUGCUCUGGGUGUGCUACUUUGCCCUAGAUCUGAAAGGCACAACGUGCAGGCUUCUUUCCAAAGGGCGAUUUGGGCCCAACAGCAUCUUGCUUCCAGCUCUUUGGGAAGCUAAGAAACAACUCGCUCUGCACAGUGCUCUUACAGCCUCCCGGGAACAUCUCUUCCAAAGGCCUGUGAAACGCAGUUUCUUUGCAGGCCUGAUCUGGCUGAAGUAGGACUUCUGCUCUGGGUGUGCUACAUUGCCCUAGAGCUGAAAGGCACACCGUGCAGGCUUCUUUCCAAAGGGCGAGUUGGGCCCCACAGCAUCUUGCUUCCAGCUCUUUGGGAAGCUAAGAAACAACUCGCUCUGCACAGUGCUCUUACAAACUACCGGGAACUUCUCUUCCAAAGGCCUGUGAAACGCAGUUUCUUUGCAGGCCUGAUCUGGCUGAAGUAGGACUUCUGCUCUGGGUGUGCUACUUUGCCCUAGAGCUGAAAGGCACAACGUGCAGGCUUCUUUCCAAAGGGCGAGUUGGGCCCCACAGCAUCUUGCUUCCAGCUCUUUGGGAAGCUAAGAAACAACUCGCUGUGCACAGUGCUCUUACAGCCUACCGGGAACAUCUCUCCCAAAGGCCUGUGAAACGCAGUUUCUUUGCAGGCCUGAUCUGGCUGAAGUAGGACUUCUGCUCUGGGAGUGCUACACUGCCCUAGAGCUGAAAGGAACACCGUGCAGGCUUCUUUCCAAAGGGCGAGUUGGGCCCCACAGCAUCUUGCUUCCAGCUCUUUGGGAAGCUAAGAAACAACUCGCUCUGCACAGUGCUCUUACAGCCUACCGGGAACAUCUCUUCCAAAGGCCUGUGAAACGCAGUUUCUUUGCAGGCCUGAUCUGGCUGAAGUAGGACUUCUGCUCUGGGUGUGCUACUUUGCCCUAGAGCUGAAAGGCACACCGUGCAGGCUUCUUUCCAAAGGGCGAGUUGGGCCCCACAGCAUCUUGCUUCCAGCUCUUUGGGAAGCUAAGAAACAACUCGCUCUGCACAGUGCUCUUACAGCCUACCGGGAACAUCUCUUCCAAAGGCCUGUGAAACGCAGUUUCUUUGCAGGCCUGAUCUGGCUGAAGUAGGACUUCUGCUCUGGGUGUGCUACAUUGCCCUAGAGCUGAAAGGCACAACGUGCAGGCUUCUUUCCAAAGGGCGAGUUGGGCCCCACAGCAUCUUGCUUCCAGCUCUUUGGGAAGCUAAGAAACAACUCGCUCUGCACAGUGCUCUUACAGCCUACCGGGAACAUCUCUUCCAAAGGCCUGUGAAACGCAGUUUCUUUGCAGGCCUGAUCUGGCUGAAGUAGGACUUCUGCUCUGGGUGUGCUACUUUGCCCUAGAGCUGAAAGGCACAACGUGCAGGCUUCUUUCCAAAGGGCGAGUUGGGCCCCACAGCAUCUUGCUUCCAGCUCUUUGGGAAGCUAAGAAACAACUCGCUCUGCACAGUGCUCUUACAGCCUACCGGGAACAUCACUUCCAAAUGCCUGUGAAACGCAGUCUCUUUGCAGGCCUCAUCUGGCUAAAGUAGGACUUCUGCUCUGGGUGUGCUACUUUGCCCUAGAGCUGAAAGGCACACCGUGCAGGCUUCUUUCCAAAGGGCGUGUUGGGCCCCACAGCAUCUUGCUUCCAGCUCUUUGGGAAGCUAAGAAACAACUCGCUCUGCUCAGUGCUCUUACAGCCUACCGGGAACAUCUCUUCCAAAGGCCUGUGAAACGCAGUUUCUUUGCAGGCCUGAUCUGGCUGAAGUAGGACUUCUGCUCUGGGUGUGCUACAUUGCCCUAGAGCUGAAAGGCACAACGUGCAGGCUUCUUUCCAAAGGGCGAGUUGGGCCCCACAGCAUCUUGCUUCCAGCUCUUUGGGAAGCUAAGAAACAACUCGCUCUGCACAGUGCUCUUACAGCCUACCGGGAACAUCUCUUCCAAAGCCCUGUGAAACGCAGUUUCUUUGCAGGCCUGAUCUGGCUGAAGUAGGACUUCUGCUCUGGGUGUGCUACUUUGCCCUAGAGCUGAAAGGCACAACGUGCAGGCUUCUUUCCAAAGGGAGAGUUGGGCCCCACAGCAUCUUGCUUCCAGCUCUUUGGGAAGCUAAGAAACAACUCGACCUGCUCAGUG